RNAcentral lists this ribosomal RNA (269 nucleotides) under uncultured prokaryote. RNAcentral's name for it is "partial 16S ribosomal RNA". It matches the Rfam family "Bacterial small subunit ribosomal RNA", at positions 524 to 794 of the family's 1533-position model. The record is from RNAcentral.
UACGUAGGGGCGAGCGUUGUCCGGAUUUACUGGGCGUAAAGGGUGAGUAGGCGGUUGUAUAUGUCAGGUGUAAAAAGCUAUGGCUUAACCAUAGUAAGCACUUGAAACUGGGAAACUUGAGUGCAGGAGAGGAGAGUGGAAUUCCUAGUGUAGCGGUGAAAUGCGUAGAUAUUAGGAGGAACAUCAGUGGCGAAGGCGACUUUCUGGACGAUAACUGACGCUGAGGCGCGAAAGCGUGGGGAGCAAACAGGAUUAGAUACCCUGGUAGU